CCCUUAGAUGUUCUGGGCUGCACGCGCGCUACACUGAAGCUAUCAACACGUUUUCCCUCCCUGAGAAGGGCGGGUAACCUUUUGAAUCAGCUUCGUGGUAGGGAUCGGGGCUUGCAAUUGUUCCCCGUGAACCAGGAAUUCCUAGUAGACGCGAGUCAUAAGCUCGCAUCGAUUAAGUCCCUGCCCUUUGUACACACCGCCCGUCGCUACUACCGAUUGAACGUUUUAGUGAGGUAUUUGGACCGACGCAUCUCAGUUUAACCGCUGGUUUGUGUUGGAAAGACUUCCAAACUUGAGCGUUUAGAGGAAGUAAAAGUCGUAACA
RNAcentral lists this ribosomal RNA (324 nucleotides) under uncultured eukaryote. RNAcentral describes it as "partial 18S ribosomal RNA". It matches the Rfam family "Eukaryotic small subunit ribosomal RNA", at positions 1470 to 1796 of the family's 1831-position model. The record is from RNAcentral.